Molecule: long non-coding RNA, 476 nt
Organism: Vitis riparia (riverbank grape)
Lineage: Eukaryota; Viridiplantae; Streptophyta; Magnoliopsida; Vitales; Vitaceae
Exons: 2
Source: RefSeq, a predicted model, not a curated record
AAUGAAGAAGUUUGUGAUGAUGGUGGCGGCGGUGUUGGUGGUGGCAGUGGUGGUGGAGGGGUCAGAGGGGUUCAGCUUGUGCAACAUGAGUGAGGAUGAUUUGAUGACAUGUAAGCCUGCAGUGAGCAAACCAUCGCCGGUGGAUCCAUCUCCGGAGUGCUGCAAGGCGCUUUCAGGAGCUGAUUUGACUUGCCUUUGCUCUUAUAAGAACUCAGAGACACUGCCGUUUCUUGGGAUUGAUCCUGAUCUUGCCAUGGCUCUUCCCUCCAAGUGCAACCUCACCCCUCCUGCUAGCUGCUAAGGUGUAUGUAUGUCGAGAAGACUCUGUUGUUGGUAAUUGAAGGGUUUGUUUUCAUGUUGGAAAUGUUUGUGUUUCUUCUUACUAGUAAUUUGCAUGCUAUACUACCAUGCAAAAGUGUGUAUUAUAUGUUGUUUCUAAUGCAACUUAGAUGCGUAUUGAUGGUUUCUUCUUGCUU